Molecule: long non-coding RNA, 1537 nt
Filed under: Equus asinus (donkey)
Lineage: Eukaryota; Metazoa; Chordata; Mammalia; Perissodactyla; Equidae
Description: lncRNA (ENSEASG00005026448.1)
Source: RNAcentral
AAUUAGAAGUCAUCACUUUGAUUACAUGAAAUCACUGGAGUAAUGAUAGUUGAAUAAGAAAUAUAUUGGUAUAUCACAUGCUUCAUAGACAAGAAAAACAGAAUCUUAAUUAUUUCAAGUUUGCUAUACCAUUUUCUGGGUUAUUCCUCAGUAUGUCACGACCCUGUAAGCCUAUGGUAUAUUUAAAUUUCAAAAAAAAUUUUUUUUUUUGAUGAGGAAGUUUGGCUCUGAGCUAACAUCUUUGGCAAUCUUCCUCUUGUUUGUAUGUGGGACGCCACCACAGCACCUGGGAUCUGAACCCAGGAACCCCAGACUGCCAAAGCAGAACAUGCAAACUUAACAACUACUCCACCAGGCCGGUCCUCAAAAAAUAUUUUGAUGCAACCAAAAAACUCUAAAAGCAUUCCAGUGCCCACCUGGUCCCCCAUUCAGUAACACAUGACUACAUAACCUAGUCAUCCACUUCGUCAUCAAAAACUGGCAUAUCUCAUGCAACAGCAGUAACAUUCCAAACAAGCAGAUGAGAAGGAGUUGGAGAAGAAACAAAUUCUGCUUGUGUUUCUGUUUCCAUAGCUAAAGUCUGAUCAGGAGAAAACAUUUUUUUCUUAUACUUCCACGUCUCAUAAGGCAAGAAACAUACAUGGUGCAAAUGCAGACUCUCCUCUUCCUUUCUUUUUCUAAUUUUCUCAUAAAUCAGGAGGGUAUAUAUCAAAUAAGUGGUCAAGUCUAAAGGGAUAUUGCUAUGGUAUUAUGGAGGGAAACAUUUUAUUUUUUAGCAGAAACCUUUGUAAUAUAACUUUUGAAUUAAAGCAAAGUUCCUUCAGUUUGCAUUUUAUUAUGUAUUUUUAUGACUGGAAAGUAUAGUAACAUGAUGCAGAAAUUCUUUCAAUUACACUAUUAAAAACAUAUUUUCUCAAUCUCUCAUAUAUUACAUACGUUGCUACUUGUCAGCUACUUGACAUUCAUAACUAGAAUAUGUAAAAUUCUUAAUAGAAAUCUAGUAUCCCAGGGAUCUUUUUAACAACAUGGGUGAAUUUAAGAGGAUAUAAAUAUUUCACAUUUGAGCAAAACUUUUACAGCUUAGGAUGGUUUCCUGAUUUAUGUGGGGGUUUCUUUUCUGCCUCAUUUUCCUUUUAAUAAAGAUUGAGGCCAACAGUCCACCCACUGAAGUCUAUCUUUUGUAGACAGCCUUCCUUCCAGAUUUCAGGUGCAUGAAAUUCUCUAUCUUGUUAAAUCUUCCCCUGAGGGAAAGAACAUUUGAAGUGGCCCCAAAUGCAUUAGUAAAUUCUCUUUCAGAGGGAUAGUUGAAGAAAAUAUAAAGUGUUACUUUUUCUCUUCUUCUCCCAUAAGAUCUCUAGGUUCGUAACUGCUGAGGUGGGAGUGGCAAACACAGGGGUUAGCAUCCAGAUUUACAGAGGUCCAAGCCCACAAGUGUCACAGCUCAUCUGAGUGCUGCCACUGUGCAGAUAGCUGUGAGAUGUAUCCAUUAGCUUCAACUUAUGAAAACACAGGACAGACUCCAACCUCCAGCAGUUUU